UUUAAAAUAUUAAAAAAUAUUUAUUCUCUCCAACAAAUCAAUUAUAUUAUAUUUGUUCUUUUUAUAUAAAUUCGAGGUUUUGCAUAGACAGAAUACGCAUUCACUCUAUUGAAAUUGAAGCUAUUCAAAAUGACUAAGUUUUCUUUCAUGCCAAUUUUUGUCAUUUUCUUUAUUUUUUCAGUUGUAACAAUGAGAUGUCAAGCUGAUCAAGUAUGUACCACUCCCCGUGAAGGUGAUUGUUUCCUUGCUGGAUGUAGACAAUGGUGCUCUCAAACUUAUAAUGGCAACGGACAUUGCGAGGCCUAUGGAAACCCUACUAGUCCUAAAUAUAAAUGCAUUUGUGUACAUAAAUGUUAAGUCUAUAACAAAUAUAUCACAAAUGUUUCAAUUAUAAAUGUAAGAGCGAAUCAAAAUAAAUUCAAUUUUCUUGCUACA
Lathyrus oleraceus (garden pea) is the source of this 435-nucleotide long non-coding RNA. RefSeq lists it as uncharacterized. The record is from RefSeq and is a predicted model, not a curated record. The transcript is spliced from 2 exons. NCBI's taxonomy places the organism in Eukaryota, Viridiplantae, Streptophyta, Magnoliopsida, Fabales, Fabaceae.